This 236-nucleotide ribosomal RNA is filed under the name uncultured bacterium. RNAcentral describes it as "partial 16S ribosomal RNA". It matches the Rfam family "Bacterial small subunit ribosomal RNA", at positions 541 to 776 of the family's 1533-position model. The record is from RNAcentral.
UUGUUCGGAAUUACUGGGCGUAAAGGGCUCGUAGGCGGCCAACUAAGUCGGACGUGAAAUCCCUCGGCUUAACCGGGGAACUGCGUCCGAUACUGGAUGGCUUGAGUAUGGGAGAGGGAUGCGGAAUUCCAGGUGUAGCGGUGAAAUGCGUAGAUAUCUGGAGGAACACCGGUGGCGAAGGCGGCAUCCUGGACCAUUACUGACGCUGAGGAGCGAAAGCCAGGGGAGCAAACGGG